AUUGAACGCUGGCGGCAGGCCUAACACAUGCAAGUCGAGCGGCAGCACGGGUACUUGUACCUGGUGGCGAGCGGCGGACGGGUGAGUAAUGCCUAGGAAUCUGCCUGGUAGUGGGGGAUAACGUCCGGAAACGGGCGCUAAUACCGCAUACGUCCUACGGGAGAACGUGGGGGCGCUUAGGACCUCACGCUAUUAGAUGAGCCUAGGUCGGAUUAGCUAGUUGGUGAGGUAAUGGCUCACCAAGGCGACGAUCCGUAACUGGUCUGAGAGGAUGAUCAGUCACACUGGAACUGAGACACGGUCCAGACUCCUACGGGAGGCAGCAGUGGGGAAUAUUGGACAAUGGGCGAAAGCCUGAUCCAGCCAUGCCGCGUGUGUGAAGAAGGUCUUCGGAUUGUAAAGCACUUUAAGUUGGGAGGAAGGGCAGUUACCUAAUACGUGAUUGUUUUGACGUUACCGACAGAAUAAGCACCGGCUAACUCUGUGCCAGCCGCCGCAGUAA
RNAcentral lists this ribosomal RNA (502 nucleotides) under uncultured bacterium. RNAcentral describes it as "partial 16S ribosomal RNA". It matches the Rfam family "Bacterial small subunit ribosomal RNA", at positions 30 to 523 of the family's 1533-position model. The record is from RNAcentral.